UCCGUAGGAGCAGGAAGCUGGCAAGUUCUCAAAAUUGUGGUUUUCCAGCAUCACAGACUCAGGGCUUACAAAAUAAAAACAUUUUAACUGCAGCAACUCUUAGGUUACAGUCAGCAAGAUCAGGAAUGUGGAGACAUGGAUGAUUUAAAAGGUAAGAAGAUCUCCAUCCUCUAGUUCACAGCUGGAACACUAAAGCACGGUCAGACUAAUGAACUAAGGAGUAGCCCAUACCCAACUCUCCCAUGACAUUUUGCUUCCAGUUUUAAUGAAGAAAUCAUCAGUGGCCAGCAAGAUUGCAGUGGUGUGCAGUGUUUGCCACCAAGAUCCACUGCUACUCCAUGGAAGGAGUGUCACACAGCCAGAAUCUAGAGGUGGAGAUGGAGAGGGAGCUGGCAAUGGGGCACUCCAGACAAAUAUAUCAGAAGGACACCAAAUACCUGCAUGUGAGGAAUAGCACAAGAAUAAUUGACAAUCUCUCCUUUCACCAAGACAAACCAGAUCUGGUCUGAGAAAAUAAUUACCAAUCUUGAAUUUAUCUUUCAACAUUUGAAAAUAUCACAAUUUUUGCCUAAUAUAUUUCUGGUGUUGAAGCUGCUGCUGCACCAGUAUUUCAUACUGCCCUGAGGCCCUGAUUUUUGAGCGGGGGACUUUAUGGCAUUUUUGCUGGUGUGACUUUGCUGGAUGGUGCAGCAAAAAGCCUGGUUGCAAAUGUAAAAUGGGAUUACUGACACAUUUCUGAUGGAGAUACAGAAAGUCUAUGGAAAUCUCAAUGGAACCACCAAGUAUUGCCAUAGAGUCAUAGAGUUGUACAGCACGGAAACAGAUCCUUCGGUCCCACUCGUCCAUGCCGACCAGAUAUCCUAAAUUAAUCUAGUCCAAUUUGCCAGUGUUUGGCCCAUAUCUCUCUAAACCCUUCCUAUUCAUGUACCCAUCCAGAUACCUCUUAAAUGAUGUAAUUGUACCAGUCUCCACCACUUCCUCUGGCAGCUCAUUCCAUACACGCACCACCCUCUGCAUGAAGAAUUUGCCCCUUAAGUCCUUUUUAAAUCUUUCCCCUUUGACCUUAAACCUAUGCCCUCUAGUUUUGGACUCCCCUACUCUGGGAAAAAGACCUUGGCUAUUCACCCUUUUCACACCCCUCAUUAUUUUAUAAAUCUCUAUAAGGUCACCCCUCCGAAGCUCCAGGGGGAAAAAACCCAGCUUAUUCAGCCUCUCCCUAUAGCUCAAACCCUCCAACCCUAUUUUGUUAAAAGUGCUUUAAGAUUAAAAUGUUCUGAAGCUUAAGUGUCAAUAAAGAAAGCUCUCUGUAGUGCUGCAAUUUUUAAUAUAUAAACAGAUAAAUAAAGAUGACAAUAAAGAAACAAAAUCUAUUAUUUUA
Long non-coding RNA from Rhincodon typus (whale shark), 1378 nucleotides. RefSeq lists it as uncharacterized. The record is from RefSeq and is a predicted model, not a curated record. NCBI's taxonomy places the organism in Eukaryota, Metazoa, Chordata, Chondrichthyes, Orectolobiformes, Rhincodontidae. The transcript is spliced from 3 exons.